GAUGAACGCUGGCGGCGUGCCUAAUACAUGCAAGUCGAGCGAACAGACGAGGAGCUUGCUCCUCUGACGUUAGCGGCGGACGGGUGAGUAACACGUGGAUAACCUACCUAUAAGACUGGGAUAACUUCGGGAAACCGGAGCUAAUACCGGAUAAUAUAUUGAACCGCAUGGUUCAAUAGUGAAAGACGGUUUUGCUGUCACUUAUAGAUGGAUCCGCGCCGCAUUAGCUAGUUGGUAAGGUAACGGCUUACCAAGGCAACGAUGCGUAGCCGACCUGAGAGGGUGAUCGGCCACACUGGAACUGAGACACGGUCCAGACUCCUACGGGAGGCCGCAGUAGGGAAUCUUCCGCAAUGGGCGAAAGCCUGACGGAGCAACGCCGCGUGAGUGAUGAAGGUCUUCGGAUCGUAAAACUCUGUUAUUAGGGAAGAACAAAUGUGUAAGUAACUAUGCACGUCUUGACGGUGCCUAAUCAGAAAGCCACGGCUAACUACGUG
This 497-nucleotide ribosomal RNA is filed under the name uncultured bacterium. RNAcentral describes it as "partial 16S ribosomal RNA". It matches the Rfam family "Bacterial small subunit ribosomal RNA", at positions 28 to 507 of the family's 1533-position model. The record is from RNAcentral.